GACGAACGCUGGCGGCGUGCCUAAUACAUGCAAGUCGAACGAGAGCGACCGGUGCUUGCACUGGUCAAUCUAGUGGCGAACGGGUGAGUAACACGUGGGUAACCUGCCCAUCAGAGGGGGAUAACAUUCGGAAACGGAUGCUAAAACCGCAUAGGUCUUCGAACCGCAGGGUUUGUAGAGGAAAAGCGGCGCAAGCUUCUGCUGUUGGAUGGACCCGCGGUGCAUUAGCUAGUUGGUGAGGUAACGGCUCACCAAGGCCGUGAUGCAUAGCCGACCUGAGGGGGUGAUCGGCCACAUUGGGACUGAAACACGGCCCAAACUCCUACGGGAGGCAGCAGUAGGGAAUCUUCCGCAAUGGACGCAAGUCUGACGGAGCAACGCCGCGUGAGUGAAGAAGGUUUUCGGAUCGUAAAACUCUGUUGUUAGAGAAGAAUAAGUGCUAGAGUAACUGUUAGCGCCUUGACGGUAGCUAACCAGAAAGCCACGGCUAACUACGUG
This 498-nucleotide ribosomal RNA is filed under the name uncultured bacterium. RNAcentral's name for it is "partial 16S ribosomal RNA". It matches the Rfam family "Bacterial small subunit ribosomal RNA", at positions 28 to 507 of the family's 1533-position model. The record is from RNAcentral.